UCCAAUUAAAUUUUAAUUAUGAAAAAUUAUUACAGGAAAAGUGAAAGAAAAAUGGCUCCAUGGCUAUCCAGAUUUAGCCAGACCGCGAGGUUGAGAGCAGUGUCCUCCAGACCACCAAGUCUGGCCAAGGCUUCUUACCCUACUGCAUGGAGUUAGGGUCCAGCUACAGAGUUAGAAGAGCCCCCACAAGACCACUGUCACUUCUGACAGCAGCUGCAGAUUUGGAGAUGGAGUUGGUCAGGGGUGGGUUCCCCAAACACCCUCAGGUUCUCAAGUUUGCUAGAAAACCCCUGGAACUUACUGAAACCUACUUGGAAGUCAUUGUUUAUUACAGGGAAAGGGUACAAACUAAAACCUGUCGAAGAGAUGCAUAGACUAUGGAGGGUUCUAACACAAAGCCUCUGUUGUCCUCAGGACGCCUUACCAUCCUGGCAUUGAUGUGCAUUGGGUAUUGCCAGUCUCAGAAGCUCACUGACGUUUUGGUGUGCAGAUUUUUUGUUGUGGCUGCAGUAUAUCCAUGGUGGUUUUGAAAACCAACAGCCCAUAAUUACUGUGAAAACCAGCAGCCUGGCAGUCACUAGGAGAAGCAGAACAGGGUUGGAUCUUCUUCAACAAUAUAUUCACUGAGAAUUAUCAUUAUGUGACCAAAGUGGUAGUUCACUGAAAGACCCCACUGGACUGAGAACUGGCUCAGUGUGAAAGCCUUUUCCUGAUACCACUUUGCAAAAACGAUCAGAGGGCUGUGUGUAUGUUCAAGGAAGAGCUGAGAAGGCCCUAAAAUGUCACUUCAGCUGACCUUGAGGUUCUGCUCCAGCAAGAAAUGAAGGCUCAGGUGGAAUCGUCAACUUCCUGGCUAUGUUGAAGACCAGUUUUCAAGAAUAUGCAAGACAUAUCCAGAAACAAAGUAUGCCUCAUACACAGAGGGGAAGAAAAGCAAACCGUCCCCAAAGAAUUCCAGACUUUGGAUUUACUCAAUGAAGACAUUAAAUAAACCAUUUUGAGAAUAUGUGCAAAGAACUAAUGGAAACAAUAUUUAAAGAACUAAAAGUCUGAGAAUAAUGCCUCACCAUACAGAGAAUAUCAAUAAUAAAAUAGAAAUUAUAAAGAAGAGACAAAAAGAAAUUAAGGAAUUGAAAAGUUAAAUGAUAGAGUAAAUUCAACAUAAGUGAUCAACAGCAGAUUGAAGCAGGCAGAAGAAAGAUUUGGUGAAACUAAAGAUAGGUCAAUUGAGAUUAACCUAUCUUGGGGGGGUGGGGAAUGAACAACAGAUCCUCAAAGACUCAUGGGAUACCAUCAAGUGUACUGGUGUGAACACAGAGUCUCAUAUGACCUGCCUUUUUAGCUGUAGACCCUUAAAGAAAACAUGUUCCAACAGAAACUUGAUCGUGAAUGUUCAUAGUAGCAUUACUCAUAAUAUCCAAAAAGAAGCCAAAUAUCCAUGCAUUGGUGACUGAAUAAGCAAUAAUGGUAUAUACAUAUGAUGGGAUAUUAUCUAGCCAUAAAAAUGGAUUAUUGGUAUGUAUUAUGACACGAAUAAACUUUGAAAGCAUUAGGUUAAGAAAGAAGCCAAACACAAAAUAUGGUUCAACUUAUAUGAAAUACCCAAAAUAUGAAUCCAUAGAAAUCAAUUAGUAAAUUAGUGAUUGCUAAGGUCUAAGGGAGGGAGGAAUAAUGAAUGCAUGCUAAUAGGUACGGAUGCUAUUUUUUUUGGUGGGGGGGGGUUGAUGAAUGUGAAAUUGGAUGGUGGUGUUGGUGGCAGAACUUUGUAAAUAUACAAAAAUCCACUGAAUUUUGUACUUUGUAA
Neogale vison (American mink) is the source of this 1804-nucleotide long non-coding RNA. RefSeq lists it as uncharacterized. The record is from RefSeq and is a predicted model, not a curated record. The transcript has 4 exons. Lineage: Eukaryota; Metazoa; Chordata; Mammalia; Carnivora; Mustelidae.